RNAcentral lists this ribosomal RNA (510 nucleotides) under uncultured bacterium. RNAcentral's name for it is "partial 16S ribosomal RNA". It matches the Rfam family "Bacterial small subunit ribosomal RNA", at positions 28 to 507 of the family's 1533-position model. The record is from RNAcentral.
GACGAACGCUGGCGGCGUGCUUAACACAUGCAAGUCGAACGAAGAGCGAUGGAAGCUUGCUUCUAUCAAUCUUAGUGGCGAACGGGUGAGUAACGCGUAAUCAACCUGCCCUUCAGAGGGAGACAACAGUUGGAAACGACUGCUAAUACCGCAUACGAUCUAAUCUCGGCAUCGAGGAUAGAUGAAAGGUGGCCUCUACAUGUAAGCUAUCACUGAAGGAGGGGAUUGCGUCUGAUUAGCUAGUUGGAGGGGUAACGGCCCACCAAGGCGAUGAUCAGUAGCCGGUCUGAGAGGAUGAACGGCCACAUUGGGACUGAGACACGGCCCAGACUCCUACGGGAGGCAGCAGUGGGGAAUCUUCCGCAAUGGACGAAAGUCUGACGGAGCAACGCCGCGUGAGUGAGGACGGCCUUCGGGUUGUAAAGCUCUGUUAAUCGGGACGAAAGGCCUUCUUGCGAAUAGUGAGAAGGAUUGACGGUACCGGAAUAGAAAGCCACGGCUAACUACGUG